UACAGAGGUCUCAAGCGUUGUUCGGAUUCAUUGGGCGUAAAGGGUGCGUAGGUGGCGAGGUUAGUCAGGUGUGAAAUCUCGGGGCUCAACCCCGGAAACUGCACUUGAUACUGCCUUGCUAGAGUACUGGAGAGGAGAUUGGAAUUUACGGUGUAACAGUGAAAUGCGUAGAUAUCGUAAGGAAGACCAGUGGCGAAGGCGAAUCUCUGGACAGUUACUGACACUGAGGCACGGAAGGCCAAGGGGAGCGAAACGGG
RNAcentral lists this ribosomal RNA (257 nucleotides) under uncultured bacterium. RNAcentral describes it as "partial 16S ribosomal RNA". It matches the Rfam family "Bacterial small subunit ribosomal RNA", at positions 524 to 777 of the family's 1533-position model. The record is from RNAcentral.